RNAcentral lists this ribosomal RNA (460 nucleotides) under uncultured bacterium. RNAcentral's name for it is "partial 16S ribosomal RNA". It matches the Rfam family "Bacterial small subunit ribosomal RNA", at positions 338 to 795 of the family's 1533-position model. The record is from RNAcentral.
CCUACGGGGGGCAGCAGUGAGGAAUAUUGGUCAAUGGGCGAGAGUCUGAACCAGCCAAGUAGCGUGAAGGAUGACUGCCCUAUGGGUUGUAAACUUCUUUUAUAUGGGAAUAAAAUGUUCCACGUGUGGGAUUUUGUAUGUACCAUAUGAAUAAGGAUCGGCUAACUCCGUGCCAGCAGCCGCGGUAAUACGGAGGAUCCGAGCGUUAUCCGGAUUUAUUGGGUUUAAAGGGAGCGUAGGUGGAUUGUUAAGUCAGUUGUGAAAGUUUGCGGCUCAACCGUAAAAUUGCAGUUGAAACUGGCAGUCUUGAGUACAGUAGAGGUGGGCGGAAUUCGUGGUGUAGCGGUGAAAUGCUUAGAUAUCACGAAGAACUCCGAUUGCGAAGGCAGUUCACUGGACUGCAACUGACACUGAGGCUCGAAAGUGUGGGUAUCAAACAGGAUUAGAUACCCGUGUAGUC